Molecule: ribosomal RNA, 292 nt
Filed under: uncultured bacterium
Lineage: Bacteria
Description: partial 16S ribosomal RNA
Rfam family: Bacterial small subunit ribosomal RNA
Source: RNAcentral
GUGCCAGCCGCCGCGGUAAUACGGAGGAUCCAAGCGUUAUCCGGAAUCAUUGGGUUUAAAGGGUCCGUAGGCGGGACAAUAAGUCAGUGGUGAAAGUCUGUGGCUCAACCAUAGAAUUGCCAUUGAUACUGUUGUCCUUGAGUUACUGUGAAGUGGUUGGAAUAUGUAGUGUAGCGGUGAAAUGCAUAGAUAUUACAUAGAACACCGAUUGCGAAGGCAGAUCACUAACAGUACACUGACGCUGAUGGACGAAAGCGUAGGUAGCGAACAGGAUUAGAAACCCCAGUAGUCC